RNAcentral lists this ribosomal RNA (447 nucleotides) under uncultured bacterium. Its description in RNAcentral is "partial 16S ribosomal RNA". It matches the Rfam family "Bacterial small subunit ribosomal RNA", at positions 29 to 523 of the family's 1533-position model. The record is from RNAcentral.
AACGAACGCUGGCGGCAGGCUUAACACAUGCAAGUCGAGCGCCCCGCAAGGGGAGCGGCAGACGGGUGAGUAACGCGUGGGAAUCUACCCUUUUCUACGGAAUAACGCAGGGAAACUUGUGCUAAUACCGUAUAAGCCCUUCGGGGGAAAGAUUUAUCGGGAAAGGAUGAGCCCGCGUUGGAUUAGCUAGUUGGCGGGGUAAAGGCCUACCAAGGCGACGAUCCAUAGCUGGUCUGAGAGGAUGAUCAGCCACAUUGGGACUGAGACACGGCCCAAACUCCUACGGGAGGCAGCAGUGGGGAAUAUUGGACAAUGGGCGCAAGCCUGAUCCAGCCAUGCCGCGUGAGUGAUGAAGGCCCUAGGGUUGUAAAGCUCUUUCACCGGUGAAGAUAAUGACGGUAACCGGAGAAGAAGCCCCGGCUAACUUCGUGCCAGCCGCCGCCGUAA